This 245-nucleotide ribosomal RNA is filed under the name uncultured beta proteobacterium. Its description in RNAcentral is "partial 16S ribosomal RNA". It matches the Rfam family "Bacterial small subunit ribosomal RNA", at positions 524 to 768 of the family's 1533-position model. Lineage: Bacteria; Pseudomonadati; Pseudomonadota; Betaproteobacteria. The record is from RNAcentral.
UACGUAGGGUGCGAGCGUUAAUCGGAAUUACUGGGCGUAAAGCGUGCGCAGGCGGUUUUGUAAGACAGGUGUGAAAUCCCCGGGCUUAACCUGGGAACUGCGCUUGUGACUGCAAGACUAGAGUGCGGCAGAGGGGGGUGGAAUUCCACGUGUAGCAGUGAAAUGCGUAGAGAUGUGGAGGAACACCGAUGGCGAAGGCAGCCCCCUGGGUCGACACUGACGCUCAUGCACGAAAGCGUGGGUAG